This is a ribosomal RNA of Lepisosteus oculatus (spotted gar), 118 nucleotides long. The record is from Ensembl. Lineage: Eukaryota; Metazoa; Chordata; Actinopteri; Semionotiformes; Lepisosteidae.
GCCAGCAGCCAUAUCACCCUGCAACUCACAACUGGCAACCCACUGAAGCUAAGCAGGUGUGAGCCUGCUCAGUACCUGGAUGGAGACCUCCUGGGAAAAACUAAGGUUGCUGCUGGAA